AGCACACUAAGGGUCAAAGACAUGAGAGAGCACACGAAGGAAGACACGAAGACAACAGUAAGGAGGAACCCCAAAGAAGAACACCAACUUAACUAAGAGCUUGACAAAGAAAACCUCAUAUGGCCAAGCAUAGUUCUUCGGGUGUAGCAGAGAUAAGAGAAUCUGCAAAGGAUAAACACAACAGAAUGAAAUACAAAACGACAAACAAAACAGGAAACCGAACGAAGAAACCCCUUAG
RNAcentral lists this long non-coding RNA (238 nucleotides) under Prunus persica (peach). RNAcentral describes it as "long non-coding RNA (PPER_LNC006359)". The record is from RNAcentral. Lineage: Eukaryota; Viridiplantae; Streptophyta; Magnoliopsida; Rosales; Rosaceae.